RNAcentral lists this ribosomal RNA (245 nucleotides) under uncultured Azospirillum sp. RNAcentral describes it as "partial 16S ribosomal RNA". It matches the Rfam family "Bacterial small subunit ribosomal RNA", at positions 524 to 768 of the family's 1533-position model. Lineage: Bacteria; Pseudomonadati; Pseudomonadota; Alphaproteobacteria; Rhodospirillales; Azospirillaceae. The record is from RNAcentral.
UACGAAGGGGGCUAGCGUUGUUCGGAGUUACUGGGCGUAAAGGGCGCGUAGGCGGCUGUCCAAGUCGGGUGUGAAAGCCCAGGGCUCAACCCUGGAUGUGCACUCGAGACUGGCCGGCUAGAGGAUGGGAGAGGAUGGUGGAAUUCCCAGUGUAGAGGUGAAAUUCGUAGAUAUUGGGAAGAACACCGGUGGCGAAGGCGGCCAUCUGGACCAUUUCUGACGCUGAGGCGCGAAAGCGUGGGGAG